UUCCCUUCCUCACACCACAAUUCUCUCACCUAGAUUUCUGCAACGUUUUCUGUCUGGUAUUCUUUUCUUACCACUCUCCAACUGAUUUCCAGUCCACCAUCAGAACCAGUUUCCUAAACCGAAAAUAUAAUCCUAAAACUGCGCUCCUCAGAAUUCCUCCAGCGCUUCUUUGCCCCUCCGCACAGAGGAAGAAGAAAGAGAUCCACACCUCUGUGACACCCCUACUCCCAUCGCGUGUCCUCCCAGAAGUUGUGUUGGCAGCCUGGUCCUCAGUCCAGUGCCCAGAGGGAAGUCCUCAGGACAAGCACGGUGUGGUUUGGAGAGAUUAAAAUAUACCUCAUGGGACCUGCUUAGCACUCAAGAGAAGGUUGCUACAAAAGCCAGUGCCUGGCCGCACCAGUGUCUCUGACUUCCUGUUUCAAGAUGUAUCUUUCCUCCUACAUGUACUCCUUGGGGCCCUGUCCAGAGUCUGCUCUAUACUUCUUGGACAUUUAUCCUCUAAAAUUGUGAACUGAGUAAGACUUUCCUCUUUUUGUGCCUUCCUCAGGUAAUAAUUGUGAUGAAAUAUGGAUUAAUACAACAUUAAAUUAAGGCUCCUGAUCAGCUUGAUGUGGAGUUCAUCAAAAGGAGAUAGAUGAUCCAAGAAGGGCCUGCCCAGUUGAGUGAUCCUUUAAGAGAGGGCUAUUCCUCUCCUGAGCUCAGAGGCUCUGGAAAGCUGAGAUUCUCUUUCCUGUUGGUCCUGAAAGAACAAACCACCAUCUACAAACCAAAGGAAAUACAUUUUGCCAGCAUUCAAAGGAAUUUGCAAGAAGACCCCGAGUCUCAGUGCUGCCUGUUUAUGGAAUUCCAGAAGGUGAGAGCUGUGCCAGGAGAAGAAGGUGAAACUGGCUCUGCCUUCAGGGAGAUGCUGGCAGCUGUGAGAACUACAGGAUGAAGCAUCUGAAACCCAGCAUGUGCUAAGCCUGGAGCUGGAUGUGUUAGGGCUGGGGCACAGAGUGCCAGAGAGCGUUUGGUGAUCCUAACGUCUUCAGUAGUGUACUUCCUUUCUUGGAUGAAAUGUAGAAAGCAGUUCUGGCAUAGAUGUUCUGACUAAAUGAAAGGACCUAGCACAAACACCACUGCAGCGGAUGUGCCCUCAAUUCCCUCCCUGGGUCUUCUGAAGGGACCCUGGGUCUCUGGGAAGACGCAUCAGGUUUAUGGACCUUGCACUUCCACAGAGGUGUGGCAAGUGCACUGUGGCUGGUGGGGAGAAGAGCCCUAUAAGAGUAUGCAUCCUCUCUGCCUGUCUGCAGGGCUCUGAGGCACACAUCAAGAACAGACACUGCUGUCUUGUUUCCAACUGUUCCUCCACUAGGCUUGCAGCUGGUGGAUGUCAGAACUGUCUCUGGU
Molecule: long non-coding RNA, 1389 nt
Organism: Chinchilla lanigera (long-tailed chinchilla)
Lineage: Eukaryota; Metazoa; Chordata; Mammalia; Rodentia; Chinchillidae
Exons: 3
Source: RefSeq, a predicted model, not a curated record